Molecule: ribosomal RNA, 460 nt
Filed under: uncultured bacterium
Lineage: Bacteria
Description: SSU rRNA
Rfam family: Bacterial small subunit ribosomal RNA
Source: RNAcentral
AGAAUCAACGCUGGCGGCGUGCCUAACACAUGCAAGUCGCACGAGAAAGUGGAGCAAUCCAUGAGUAAAGUGGCGCACGGGUGAGUAACACGUGAAUUAUCUACCUCCGAGUGGGGAAUAACUGAGAGAAAUCUUAGCUAAUACCGCAUAACACUUACGAGUCAAAGCAGCAAUGCGCUUGGAGAGGAGUUCGCGGCCGAUUAGUUAGUUGGCGGGGUAAUGGCCCACCAAGACGAUGAUCGGUAUCCGGCCUGAGAGGGCGCACGGACACACUGGAACUGAAACACGGUCCAGACUCCUACGGGAGGCAGCAGUGGGGAAUUUUGCGCAAUGGGGGAAACCCUGACGCAGCAACGCCGCGUGGAGGAUGAAGCCCCUUGGGGUGUAAACUCCUUUCGAUCGGGAAGAUAAUGACGGUACCGAUAUAAGAAGCCCCGGCUAACUUCGCGCCAGCAGCCGC